AUUAUACCGCGAAACUGCGAAUGGCUCAUUAAAUCAGUUAUCGUUUAUUUGAUAGUACUUUACUACUUGGAUAACCGUGGUAAUUCUAGAGCUAAUACAUGCUAAAAAACCCGACUCACGGAGGGUUGUAUUUAUUAGAUUAAAAACCAAUGCCCUUCGGGGCUUCUUGGUGAUUCAUAAUAACUGGUCGAAUCGCAGGGCCUUGCGCCGGCGAUGGUUCAUUCAAAUUUCUGCCCUAUCAACUUUCGAUGGCAGGGUAUUGGCCUGCCAUGGUUACAACGGGUAACGGAGGGUUAGGGCUCGACCCCGGAGAAGGAGCCUGAGAAACGGCUACUACAUCCAAGGAAGGCAGCAGGCGCGCAAAUUACCCAAUCCCGACACGGGGAGGUAGUGACAAUAAAUACUGAUACAGGGCUCUUUGGGGUCUUGUAAUCGGAAUGAGUACAAUUUAAAUCCCUUAACGAGGAACAAUUGGAGGGCAAGUCUGGUGCCAGCAGCCGCGGUAAUUCCAGCUCCAAUAGCGUAUAUUAAAGUUGUUGCAGUUAAAAAGCUCGUAGUUGAACCUUGGGCCUGGCUGGCCGGUCCGCCUCACCGCGUGCACUGGUUCGGCCGGGCCUUUCCCUCUGGGGAACCCCAUGCCCUUCACUGGGUGUGGUGGGGAACCAGGACUUUUACUGUGAAAAAAUUAGAGUGUUCAAAGCAGGCCUAUGCUCGAAUACAUUAGCAUGGAAUAAUAGAAUAGGACGUGUGGUUCUAUUUUGUUGGUUUCUAGGACCGCCGUAAUGAUUAAUAGGGACAGUCGGGGGCAUCAGUAUUCAAUUGUCAGAGGUGAAAUUCUUGGAUUUAUUGAAGACUAACUACUGCGAAAGCAUUUGCCAAGGAUGUUUUCAUUAAUCAGGAACGAAAGUUAGGGGAUCGAAAACGAUCAGAUACCGUUGUAGUCUUAACCAUAAACUAUGCCGACUAGGGAUCGGAUGAUGUUAUUUUUUGACUCAUUCGGCACCUUACGAGAAAUCAAAGUCUUUGGGUCUGGGGG
RNAcentral lists this ribosomal RNA (1036 nucleotides) under Biscogniauxia petrensis. RNAcentral's name for it is "SSU rRNA". It matches the Rfam family "Eukaryotic small subunit ribosomal RNA", at positions 73 to 1120 of the family's 1831-position model. The record is from RNAcentral. Lineage: Eukaryota; Fungi; Ascomycota; Sordariomycetes; Xylariales; Xylariaceae.